AGUGAACGCUGGCGGUAGGCCUAACACAUGCAAGUCGAACGGCAGCACAGUAAGAGCUUGCUCUUACGGGUGGCGAGUGGCGGACGGGUGAGGAAUACAGCGGAAUCUACUUUUUCGUGGGGGAUAACGUAGGGAAACUUACGCUAAUACCGCAUACGACCUACGGGUGAAAGCAGGGGAUCUUCGGACCUUGCGCGAUUGAAUGAGCCGAUGUCGGAUUAGCUAGUUGGUGGGGUAAAGGCCCACCAAGGCGACGAUCCGUAGCUGGUCUGAGAGGAUGAUCAGCCACACUGGAACUGAGACACGGUCCAGACGCCUACGGGAGGCAGCAGUGGGGAAUAUUGGACAAUGGGCGCAAGCCUGAUCCAGCCAUACCGCGUGGGUGAAGAAGGCCUUCGGGUUGUAAAGCCCUUUUGUUGGGAAAGAAAAGCAGCAGGUUAAUACCCCGCUGUUCUGACGGUACCCAAAGAAUAAGCACCGGCUAACUUCGUG
RNAcentral lists this ribosomal RNA (492 nucleotides) under uncultured bacterium. RNAcentral describes it as "partial 16S ribosomal RNA". It matches the Rfam family "Bacterial small subunit ribosomal RNA", at positions 29 to 507 of the family's 1533-position model. The record is from RNAcentral.